This 1264-nucleotide long non-coding RNA is filed under the name Homo sapiens (human). RNAcentral's name for it is "HSALNT0178559". Lineage: Eukaryota; Metazoa; Chordata; Mammalia; Primates; Hominidae. The record is from RNAcentral.
UCCCACCAGGAAUUUCAGCUCUGCUCUUGUAGCCCUAAGGGAAAUGAGUCAGUGGGAGGAGCUGAGGAAAACAAAGAGAGGAAGGAAGGAGGCAGUUCCGGGUUUCCCACAGGAGUUCUGAGGAUCUCCCAGAUCAAAGGGCAGUGAACACAGACUCCACUUCUCAAAGGAGGAGGAUCAGUUUCACACUGGGACUGGCAUAGGCUGGUGCAGCCAUCUUUGGAAAAUACCAUCUUCCUCAAGUGAAUAUUUAAAACCAGAGACCAUCAAACCAGAUGAUCAUGUGGCAAGUGUUCCAGCCAGUUCCAGAUGAAGACACCACCCCCUGAAGAAGCUACCCUAUUUCCACUAGACAGAGGAGGGCGAGAAUUCCAUGAUUCCAUGAUUCCCAAUAUGUAAGGACUACACCUCAAUCAGCAUGAGGCAAUUACAGAAGAAAGACCAUUGGUCCCUCUGCCUCCCAUAAAGAUUUAUGGGGAUCACAUCUCUCAGGGAAAAAUGAGGCAGGAGAAUAGGGUCUGGAGGCAGGGAUCAUAAGGCUGAUUCACACUGACUUCCUAGAACUAAAUCAAAAGGAAAACCCCAACUUUCCACACCUAAGUAACAAAAGGACUGGAGGCUACUCCCUUUGCAAACCACCCCCUGCCGCCCUUUUUCUACAUGGUAGAUGGAAAAUUUAAAGUAUCUCUAAUUGGUUGCAGGUUGCAGAAAGCAACCAAUCAGAGGCUUGCAUAGGAGUGUAACUUUGUAACUUCAGCCUCUGAUUGGUUGCUUUUCACAACCAAUCAGACACUUGCAUAAGUGUAACCUUUGUAACUUCAGCCUCUGACUGGUUGCUUUCCUAAACCAAACAGACUAAUUGCGGGCCAUACUUCACUUACAUAGCGUGUACACCAAGUAGUAACCAAUGGGAAACCUCUAGAUGGUAUUUAAAUCCCAGAAAAUUCUGUAAUGGGGGUCUUGAGCUCCUAUGCUCCGGCCGCUCCCACCCUGUGGAGUGUACUUUGAUUUUCAAUAAAUCUCUGCUUUUGUUGCUUCAUUCUUUCCUUGUUUUGUUUGUGUGUUUUCUUCAAUUCUUUGUUCAAAACACCAAGAACCUGUACACCCUACACCAGUAACACAUGCUAUGGUCAAUAUCUACAAUUUCUGUCUCCAAGUAUGCAAGCACUACUUUGAACCGCAUACACUAACAACUUGGUGUUCUGGGUCAUUAGUUGCAAAUCGACAGGUUCUGUUUUAGUCACAAAAUCAAGUUUCAUCACCG